AAAGGGAGACCUACUCACAGAACGAAAGCAAAAAGCGAAUAGUUUUGAAUGAGACAUCCCCUCAAAGGUCGUACAGAGAAAAUUGAAAGUCAUAAAGAAAUUCUUCAAACUAGAGACUGGGUUCGUAACAGAUAGCGAACCAAAAGGGCUAUUAGCUCAGGUGGUUAGAGCGCACCCCUGAUAAGGGUGAGGUCCCUGGUUCAAGUCCAGGAUGGCCCACUUGUCAGUGAGCAGUGAACAGUUAACAGUGAGCAGUGAAAAACUAACUGAUAACUGAUGGCUGAUAACUGAUGACGGAAAAGGGGGUAUAGCUCAGCUGGUAGAGCGCCUGCUUUGCAAGCAGGAUGUCAGCGGUUCAAAUCCGCUUACCUCCACCACAAAAAAAGAAGUGAAUCAUCAGCAUCGGCACAAGAAUUGUGAGAAUGCUGGGGAUUAAACUCCAGUAAGAACCUUGAAAACUGCAUAAAGAAAGAGAAAAGUCAAAAAGAUUAACUAAAACCAGAACCAGGUUAAGGUGUGUUUUUAUUGAAAGACCGAAGGGUUAGAAGAUAAAAGCAGACCAAAAAAGUAGUCCGAAAAUAGCAGGUCAAGCCUAGAAAGGGCUAACGGUGGAUACCUA
Molecule: transfer RNA, 619 nt
Filed under: Xenococcus spongiosum TAU-MAC 1915
Lineage: Bacteria; Bacillati; Cyanobacteriota; Cyanophyceae; Pleurocapsales; Xenococcaceae
Description: partial contains 16S ribosomal RNA, 16S-23S ribosomal RNA intergenic spacer, and 23S ribosomal RNA
Rfam family: tRNA (bases 302-374)
Source: RNAcentral